RNAcentral lists this ribosomal RNA (253 nucleotides) under uncultured bacterium. RNAcentral's name for it is "partial 16S ribosomal RNA". It matches the Rfam family "Bacterial small subunit ribosomal RNA", at positions 524 to 776 of the family's 1533-position model. The record is from RNAcentral.
UACAGAGACUGCAAGCGUUAUUCGGAUUCACGGGGCGUAAAGGGUGCGCAGGCGGCCGUGUGUGUGAGGCGUGAAAGCCCGGGGCUUAACCCCGGAAUUGCACCUCAAACUACACGGCUAGAGCAUUGGAGAGGGUAGCAGAAUUCACGGUGUAGCAGUGAAAUGCGUAGAUAUCGUGAGGAAUACCAGAGGCGAAGGCGGCUACCUGGACAAUUGCUGACGCUCGGGCACGAAAGCGUGGGGAGCAAAAGGG